This 528-nucleotide ribosomal RNA is filed under the name uncultured bacterium. RNAcentral describes it as "bacterial SSU rRNA". It matches the Rfam family "Bacterial small subunit ribosomal RNA", at positions 777 to 1304 of the family's 1533-position model. The record is from RNAcentral.
AAUAGAUACCCGGGUAGUCCACGCCGUAAACGGUGGGCACUAGAUGUGGGGCUCUUUCCAUGAGUUCCGCGUCGCAGCUAACGCAUUAAGUGCCCCGCCUGGGGAGUACGGCCGCAAGGCUAAAACUCAAAGGAAUUGACGGGGGCCCGCACAAGCGGCGGAGCAUGCGGAUUAAUUCGAUGCAACGCGAAGAACCUUACCAAGGCUUGACAUAUACGGUCUAUCCCUAGAGAUAGGGAGUGCUUCGGCGCCGUAUACAGGUGGUGCAUGGUUGUCGUCAGCUCGUGUCGUGAGAUGUUGGGUUAAGUCCCGCAACGAGCGCAACCCUCGUCCUAUGUUGCCAGCGGGUAAUGCCGGGGACUCAUGGGAGACUGCCGGGGUCAACUCGGAGGAAGGUGGGGAUGAGGUCAAAUCAUCAUGCCCCUUAUGUCUUGGGCUUCACGCAUGCUACAAUGGCCGGUACAAAGGGCUGCAAUACCGCAAGGUGGAGCGAAUCCCAAAAAAGCCGGUCUCAGUUCGGAUUGAGGU